CGAAGAAGUUGCCAAGUACAAGGUGCAGUAACUGAUUUCUUUUUUAUUGCUUCUAUGUGUUCUAGUUAUUGCUGUUGGAACUAUGAUUUCUCCUGGUUGGCUUCAUUAAGAAUUCUGAUGAUAUUGUAAAUCUCUAUAGUUUAGUCAAUGUAAUCGUAUAAAUUGAUUUUGGGAAUCAUAGAUAAUUAUAAACUUAGAAUCUCUCUUAAAUUUAAUGGUAGGCCGUAAAUCAGAACAUUUUGAUAUGCAUUCUUGCUGUUUCGUGGUAUUAAUGGAGCAAUUGUAGUUUGGGAUUGUUGAAACAAUGAGGAAAGCAUAUUUUGUUUGAAGCUGUUUCUGUAUGUUCAAAGGAUCAUUUAUUGGAGAGUUAAUACAUUUUGUCUGACCAAAAUAAUGCUGGUAGAAUCUUUUUAUCAAAUCAAAGUCGAGGACUAUCCAAUUAAAAUUUAGCUCACGUUAAUGGAAGGUUUCAUGGGCUUUUAUAGGUUGGAUUGCGGGUGGAUUAUCUCAAUUGCAAUGUCAACCUACUGAAAUAAGUUGUUUGUGCAACACUACAUUAAAUUUAAAUUGCAUUGCUAAGUUUGUGUAGGUCUUUUUUUUUAUUAUUUUUAUGAUACACUUCUGUUGAAGUGCACCACUACAUUAGUGGCCAAAUGCAUCCUUUAUUCUUUCUUUUGAUCCUCUGGUGAAGAGGAAGUGAAAAUGUGCAUAGUUUCACUGACUUUGGGUGGCUAUUUGUUUAUUUUAGAUGUUGCCAAUGGCAACUUUCCACCUUUUAUUUACUGUGGAGUAACGAUUAAGUUAUUACAUUUGCAGAAGGUUUACAUUAGGUUGACAUACAUGCCAGGUUCUGUUUUGAUGGUUAUAUUGCUUUAUGCUUGUUGUGUGCUAUAUAAUAUUCUUUGUAUCCAACUUACAUUUCCAGUAUAUUUUCCAUUAUGAGUGAACAGGUUG
RNAcentral lists this unclassified non-coding RNA (954 nucleotides) under Hevea brasiliensis (rubber tree). Lineage: Eukaryota; Viridiplantae; Streptophyta; Magnoliopsida; Malpighiales; Euphorbiaceae. The record is from RNAcentral.